GACGAACGCUGGCGGCGUGCUUAACACAUGCAAGUCGAACGGAAAGUCCCUGCUUUUGUGGGGUGCUCUAGUUGCGAACGGGUGAGUUACCCGUGAGUAACCUACCCUUGCCUUUGGGAUAACUUCAUGAAACUUGGGCUCAUACCGGAUAGGAGCUCCUGCUUCAUGGUGGGGGUUGGAAAGUUUCGGCGGUUGGGGAUGUACUCGCGGCUUAUCAGCUUGUUGGUGGGGUAGUGGCUUACCAAGGCUUUGACGGGUAGCCGGCCUGAGAGGGUGACCGGACACAUUGGGACUGAGAUACGGCACAGACUACUACGGGAGGCAGCAGUGGGGAAUAGUGCACAAGGGGAGGAAGCAUGAUGCAGCAACGCAGCGUGGGGGAUGACGGCCUGCGGGUUGUAAACCGCUUUCGCCUGUGACGAAGCGUGAGUGACGGUAAUGGGUAAAGAAGCACCGGCUAACUACGUG
RNAcentral lists this ribosomal RNA (468 nucleotides) under uncultured bacterium. RNAcentral describes it as "partial 16S ribosomal RNA". It matches the Rfam family "Bacterial small subunit ribosomal RNA", at positions 28 to 507 of the family's 1533-position model. The record is from RNAcentral.